GCCAGAUGGACUAGUGGUUAAGACAGCUGAUUGUAUUGGCUGAAGCAGCUGAGGUCCCGGGUUCAACUCCCUGUCAGGGCA
Non-coding RNA from Trametes maxima, 81 nucleotides. The record is from the annotation of a GenBank genome assembly. Lineage: Eukaryota; Fungi; Basidiomycota; Agaricomycetes; Polyporales; Polyporaceae.